Zingiber officinale is the source of this 195-nucleotide long non-coding RNA. RefSeq lists it as uncharacterized. The transcript has 3 exons. NCBI's taxonomy places the organism in Eukaryota, Viridiplantae, Streptophyta, Magnoliopsida, Zingiberales, Zingiberaceae. The record is from RefSeq and is a predicted model, not a curated record.
UGGGUCAAGAUGUACAAUGCCUCAAAGGGUAUUGCUAAAUCACCAGGUUUUAAACAAUUGACGAUAUUGUGUGAUGAGGUACAUGAAAGACAUAGUUGAAUGUGAAAAUCCACAGUUGGAGAAGAUGUUUGCAGGAACAAUCAAGAAUCAAUAUUACAACCAAUCUCAAUAUGAUGAAGUCAGAAGUGAAUGGAG